GAACGCUGGCGGCGUGCUUAACACAUGCAAGUCGAGCGGAAAGGCCCUUCGGGGUACUCGAGCGGCGAACGGGUGAGUAACACGUGAGUAACCUGCCCCUGACUCUGGGAUAAGCCUGGGAAACUGGGUCUAAUACCGGAUAUGACACCUCCCUGCAUGGGGUGGGUGUGGAAAGUUUUUUCGGUUGGGGAUGGGCUCGCGGCCUAUCAGCUUGUUGGUGGGGUAGUGGCCUACCAAGGCGACGACGGGUAGCCGGCCUGAGAGGGCGACCGGCCACACUGGGACUGAGACACGGCCCAGACUCCUACGGGAGGCAGCAGUGGGGAAUAUUGCGCAAUGGGCGGAAGCCUGACGCAGCGACGCCGCGUGGGGGAUGACGGCCUUCGGGUUGUAAACCUCUUUCAGCAGGGACGAAGUUGACGUGUACCUGUAGAAGAAGCGCCGGCUAACUACGUGCCAGCAGCCGCGGUAAUACGUAGGGCGCAAGCGUUGUCCGGAAUUAUUGGGCGUAAAGAGCUCGUAGGUGGCUU
RNAcentral lists this ribosomal RNA (530 nucleotides) under Planotetraspora kaengkrachanensis. Its description in RNAcentral is "bacterial SSU rRNA". It matches the Rfam family "Bacterial small subunit ribosomal RNA", at positions 31 to 581 of the family's 1533-position model. Lineage: Bacteria; Bacillati; Actinomycetota; Actinomycetes; Streptosporangiales; Streptosporangiaceae. The record is from RNAcentral.